Lepisosteus oculatus (spotted gar) is the source of this 119-nucleotide ribosomal RNA. NCBI's taxonomy places the organism in Eukaryota, Metazoa, Chordata, Actinopteri, Semionotiformes, Lepisosteidae. The record is from Ensembl.
CAUAUUAGCCAUAUCACCCUGCAACUCACAACUAGCAACCCACUGAAGCUCAGCAGGUGUGAGCCUGGUCAGUACCUGGAUGGGAGACCUCCUGGGAAAAAGCAAGGUUGCUGCUGGAA